This 429-nucleotide ribosomal RNA is filed under the name Acidobacteriota bacterium. RNAcentral describes it as "Acidobacteria bacterium partial 16S ribosomal RNA". It matches the Rfam family "Bacterial small subunit ribosomal RNA", at positions 355 to 776 of the family's 1533-position model. The record is from RNAcentral. Lineage: Bacteria; Pseudomonadati; Acidobacteriota.
UGGGGAAUUUUGGACAAUGGGGGAAACCCUGAUCCAGCCAUCCCGCGUGUGCGAUGAAGGCCUUCGGGUUGUAAAGCACUUUUGGCAGGAAAGAAACGUCAUGGGUUAAUACCCCGUGAAACUGACGGUACCUGCAGAAUAAGCACCGGCUAACUACGUGCCAGCAGCCGCGGUAAUACGUAGGGUGCAAGCGUUAAUCGGAAUUACUGGGCGUAAAGCGUGCGCAGGCGGUUCGGAAAGAGAGAUGUGAAAUCCCGGAGCUCAACUUUGGAACUGCAUUUUUAACUACCGGGCUAGAGUGUGUCAGAGGGAGGUGGAAUUCCGCGUGUGGCAGUGAAAUGCGUAGAUAUGCGGAGGAACACCGAUGGCGAAGGCAGCCUCCUGGGAUAACACUGACGCUCAUGCACGAAAGCGUGGGGAGCAAACAGG